AUUGAACGCUGGCGGCAGGCCUAACACAUGCAAGUCGAACGAGUGGCGGACGGGUGAGUAAUGUCUGGGACCCUGCCUGAUGGAGGGGGAUACCUACUGGAAACGGUAGCUAAUACCGCAUACCAUCGGCUUUGCACAGAUGGGAUUAGCCAGUAGGUGGGGUAAAGGCUCACCUAGGCCACGAUCACUAGCUGGUCUGAGAGGGUGACCAGCCAAACUGGAACUGAGACACGGUCCAUACUCCUACGGGAGGCAGCAGUGGGGAAUAUUGCACAAUGGGCGAAAGCCUGAUGGAGCCAUGCCGCGUGUAUGAGGAAGGCCUUCGGGUUGUAAAGUACUUUCAGCGGGGAGGCGUUACCCGCAGAGGAAGCACCGGCUAACUCCGUGCCAGCAGCCGCGGUAAUUC
RNAcentral lists this ribosomal RNA (406 nucleotides) under uncultured bacterium. Its description in RNAcentral is "partial 16S ribosomal RNA". It matches the Rfam family "Bacterial small subunit ribosomal RNA", at positions 30 to 526 of the family's 1533-position model. The record is from RNAcentral.